CCUCCUAAAAUUCAUGUCACGUCGAAUAUUCGGAUGUUAAUUAGGAGGACUAAACAUGAGCUAAUUAUAAAACUAAUUACACAGAUGGAGGUUAAUUCACGAUACGAAUCUAUUAAACCUAAUUAAUCCAUCAUUAGCACAUGUUUACUGUAGCAUCAUAUUGUCAAAACAUGGACUAAUUAGGCUUAAUAGAUUCGUCUCGCAAAUUAGUCUCCAUCUGUACAAUUGGUUUUAUAAUUAGUCUAUGUUUAAUACUCCUAAUUAGUAUUUAAACAUUCGAUGUGACAGGAAUUUUAGGAGGUGC
RNAcentral lists this long non-coding RNA (304 nucleotides) under Setaria viridis. RNAcentral's name for it is "long non-coding RNA (SVIR_LNC011074)". The record is from RNAcentral. Lineage: Eukaryota; Viridiplantae; Streptophyta; Magnoliopsida; Poales; Poaceae.